Molecule: long non-coding RNA, 856 nt
Organism: Astatotilapia calliptera (eastern happy)
Lineage: Eukaryota; Metazoa; Chordata; Actinopteri; Cichliformes; Cichlidae
Source: Ensembl
GUUUCUUGGUAUCCUGGUCCUUGGUCUGCGUCUCUCUGCGCCGCUCUCCGUUUUGUAAGAUUUCAGGUUUGCUCUUUAGUUUCUCCCAGUUUAGGUUUGUCAUUACUCAUGCUUCAUUGCCUGUUUUUGCCACUGCCACCGUGUAAAUAAACUUCACUCGUAUCAUCAGUUUGCUGCAUUUUGGGUCCUCCUUUUCCUCCACUCCACACGGCUCACUCCGCCAGCCGUGACAGUACGAGCCGACCAAACAUGGACCCAGCGGCAUCCGCACUUCCCGAGGAGCUUCGGGAGGAACUAAUUGACUCUGUUUCCAGGUUGGUUAACCUAUGGCUCGAGCAUGAGGGGGAAGAGUGUCUCCGCGCUGUAGAAGCCAGGCUACAGCAGCUCAUCUCUGCUCACUCCUGGCUGCUGGACUCUCUUCACCCGCUCGCACAGGACUUCAUACUCAACGAACUGCACCUUCACCCACCAGCCGCUACCGCUUCCCAACUCAGCCCGGCGGCGAAGAUUUUGCCCGGCCCGCCGGAGGUUUUGCCCGGCCCGCCGGAGGUUUUGCCCGGCCCGCCGGAGGUUUUGCCCGGGAGGAAGCGACGAUCGCGCCGUCGGCGCAUCACCCCACAGCCGAAGACUAGGACUUUGGAACUGCCAGCUGUGCCAUCGUUGUCACCAACUCCUCCUGCACAACAAGUUAAGUCCAUCCAACCCGGAAAGAACUAUUUUUCACCUGUUCAUGUCAAGCAGAGAGACACACCACAUAAUAUUGUAAUCAGUCCUCAAAAGCUGGCCAGCCCAGAGACUGUGACACACUCCAGGGCCUCCCCAGAGGCUGGGUCCCAGCCCCCGGCCGGCUCUGGAC